CCUACGGGAGGCAGCAGUGAGGAAUAUUGGUCAAUGGGCUUACGCCUGAACCAGCCAAGUCGCGUGAGGGAAGACUGCCCUAUGGGUUGUAAACCUCUUUUGUCAGGGAGCAACGCCGGCUACGUGUAGCCGGACUGAGAGUACCUGAAGAAAAAGCAUCGGCGAACUCCGUGCCAGCAGCCGCGGUAAUACGGAGGAUGCGAGCGUUAUCCGGAGUUAUUGGGUUUAAAGGGUGCGUAGGCGGAAUGCCAAGUCAGCGGUAAAAUCGCGGGGCUCAACCUCGCUCCGCCGUUGAAACUGGCGUUCUUGAGUGGGAGAGAAGUAUGCGGAAUGCGUGGUGUAGCGGUGAAAUGCAUAGAUAUCACGAAGAACUCCGAUUGCGAAGGCAGCAUACCGGCGCCCAACUGACGCUGAAGCACGAAAGCGUGGGUAUCGAACAGGAUUAGAUACCCCAGUAGUC
RNAcentral lists this ribosomal RNA (460 nucleotides) under uncultured bacterium. RNAcentral's name for it is "partial 16S ribosomal RNA". It matches the Rfam family "Bacterial small subunit ribosomal RNA", at positions 338 to 795 of the family's 1533-position model. The record is from RNAcentral.